GGGCGGUUAGCUCAGGGGUAGAGCACUACCUUGACACGGUAGGGGUCACAAGUUCAAAUCUUGUAUCGCCCA
This is a transfer RNA of Collinsella tanakaei YIT 12063, 72 nucleotides long. It matches the Rfam family "tRNA". From Rfam's summary of the family: Transfer RNA (tRNA) molecules are approximately 80 nucleotides in length. Their secondary structure includes four short double-helical elements and three loops (D, anti-codon, and T loops). Lineage: Bacteria; Bacillati; Actinomycetota; Coriobacteriia; Coriobacteriales; Coriobacteriaceae. The record is from Rfam.